Non-coding RNA from Lactarius psammicola, 94 nucleotides. Lineage: Eukaryota; Fungi; Basidiomycota; Agaricomycetes; Russulales; Russulaceae. The record is from the annotation of a GenBank genome assembly.
GACACUAUGGCCGAGUGGUUAAGGCGACAGAUUCGAACUUCGUUUGAAUAUCUGUUUCCCUUUGGGAGCGCAGGUUCAAAUCCUGCUGGUGUCG